AUACGGAGGGUGCAAGCGUUAUUCGGAAUCACUGGGCGUAAAGGACGCGUAGGCGGGUUGGCAUGUCAGAUGUGAAAUCCUUCAGCUUAACUGUAGAACUGCAUUUGAAACUGCUAACCUAGAGUAUGGGAGGGGGAGAUGGAAUUAGUGGUGUAGGGGUAAAAUCCGUAGAUAUCACUAGGAAUACCGAAAGCGAAGGCGAUCUCCUGGAACAUAACUGACGCUAAGGCGUGAAAGCGUGGGGAGCAAACAGGAUUAGAAACCCUAGUAGUCC
This 274-nucleotide ribosomal RNA is filed under the name uncultured bacterium. Its description in RNAcentral is "partial 16S ribosomal RNA". It matches the Rfam family "Bacterial small subunit ribosomal RNA", at positions 523 to 796 of the family's 1533-position model. The record is from RNAcentral.